GGUUAAGCGACUAAGCGUACACGGUGGAUGCCCUGGCAGUCAGAGGCGAUGAAGGACGUGCUAAUCUGCGAAAAGCGUCGGUAAGGUGAUAUGAACCGUUAUAACCGGCGAUGUCCGAAUGGGGAAACCCAGUGUGAUUCGUCACACUAUCGUUAACUGAAUACAUAGGUUAACGAGGCGAACCGGGGGAACUGAAACAUCUAAGUACCCCGAGGAAAAGAAAUCAACCGAGAUUCCCCCAGUAGCGGCGAGCGAACGGGGAGCAGCCCAGAGUCUGAAUCAGCUUGUGUGUUAGUGGAACGGUCUGGAAAGUCCGACGGUACAGGGUGAUAGUCCCGUACACCAAAAUGCACAGGUUGUGAACUCGAAGAGUAGGGCGGGACACGUGGUAUCCUGUCUGAAUAUGGGGGGACCAUCCUCCAAGGCUAAAUACUCCUGACUGACCGAUAGUGAACCAGUACCGUGAGGGAAAGGCGAAAAGAACCCCGGCGAGGGGAGUGAAAAAGAACCUGAAACCGUGUACGUACAAGCAGUGGGAGCACCUUCGGGUGUGACUGCGUACCUUUUGUAUAAUGGGUCAGCGACUUAUAUUCUGUAGCAAGGUUAACCGUAUAGGGGAGCCGCAGGGAAACCGAGUCUUAACUGGGCGUUAAGUUGCAGGGUAUAGACCCGAAACCCGGUGAUCUAGCCAUGGGCAGGUUGAAGGUUGGGUAACACUAACUGGAGGACCGAACCGACUAAUGUUGAAAAAUUAGCGGAUGACUUGUGGCUGGGGGUGAAAGGCCAAUCAAACCGGGAGAUAGCUGGUUCUCCCCGAAAGCUAUUUAGGUAGCGCCUCGUGAACUCAUCUUCGGGGGUAGAGCACUGUUUCGGCUAGGGGGUCAUCCCGACUUACCAACCCGAUGCAAACUACGAAUACCGAAGAAUGUUAUCACGGGAGACACACGGCGGGUGCUAACGUCCGUCGUGAAGAGGGAAACAACCCAGACCGCCAGCUAAGGUCCCAAAGUCAUGGUUAAGUGGGAAACGAUGUGGGAAGGCACAGACAGCCAGGAUGUUGGCUUAGAAGCAGCCAUCAUUUAAAGAAAGCGUAAUAGCUCACUGGUCGAGUCGGCCUGCGCGGAAGAUGUAACGGGGCUAAACCAUGCACCGAAGCUGCGGCAGCGACACUAUGUGUUGUUGGGUAGGGGAGCGUUCUGUAAGCCUGCGAAGGUGACCUGUGAGGGUUGCUGGAGGUAUCAGAAGUGCGAAUGCUGACAUAAGUAACGAUAAAGCGGGUGAAAAGCCCGCUCGCCGGAAGACCAAGGGUUCCUGUCCAACGUUAAUCGGGGCAGGGUGAGUCGACCCCUAAGGCGAGGCCGAAAGGCGUAGUCGAUGGGAAACAGGUUAAUAUUCCUGUACUUGGUGUUACUGCGAAGGGGGGACGGAGAAGGCUAUGUUAGCCGGGCGACGGUUGUCCCGGUUUAAGCAUGUAGGCUGGUUAUCCAGGCAAAUCCGGAUAAUCAAGGCUGAGGUGUGAUGACGAGGCACUACGGUGCUGAAGUAACAAAUGCCCUGCUUCCAGGAAAAGCCUCUAAGCAUCAGGUAACAUCAAAUCGUACCCCAAACCGACACAGGUGGUCAGGUAGAGAAUACCAAGGCGCUUGAGAGAACUCGGGUGAAGGAACUAGGCAAAAUGGUGCCGUAACUUCGGGAGAAGGCACGCUGGUGUGUAGGUGAAGUCCCUGCGGAUGGAGCUGAGACCAGUCGAAGAUACCAGCUGGCUGCAACUGUUUAUUAAAAACACAGCACUGUGCAAACACGAAAGUGGACGUAUACGGUGUGACGCCUGCCCGGUGCCGGAAGGUUAAUUGAUGGGGUUAUCCGUAAGGAGAAGCUCUUGAUCGAAGCCCCGGUAAACGGCGGCCGUAACUAUAACGGUCCUAAGGUAGCGAAAUUCCUUGUCGGGUAAGUUCCGACCUGCACGAAUGGCGUAAUGAUGGCCAGGCUGUCUCCACCCGAGACUCAGUGAAAUUGAACUCGCUGUGAAGAUGCAGUGUACCCGCGGCAAGACGGAAAGACCCCGUGAACCUUUACUAUAGCUUGACACUGAACAUUGAGCCUUGAUGUGUAGGAUAGGUGGGAGGCUUUGAAGCGUGGACGCCAGUCUGCGUGGAGCCAACCUUGAAAUACCACCCUUUAAUGUUUGAUGUUCUAACGUUGGCCCCUUACCGGGGUUGCGGACAGUGUCUGGUGGGUAGUUUGACUGGGGCGGUCUCCUCCCAAAGCGUAACGGAGGAGCACGAAGGUUAGCUAAUCCUGGUCGGACAUCAGGAGGUUAGUGCAAUGGCAUAAGCUAGCUUGACUGCGAGCGUGACGGCGCGAGCAGGUGCGAAAGCAGGUCAUAGUGAUCCGGUGGUUCUGAAUGGAAGGGCCAUCGCUCAACGGAUAAAAGGUACUCCGGGGAUAACAGGCUGAUACCGCCCAAGAGUUCAUAUCGACGGCGGUGUUUGGCACCUCGAUGUCGGCUCAUCACAUCCUGGGGCUGAAGUAGGUCCCAAGGGUAUGGCUGUUCGCCAUUUAAAGUGGUACGCGAGCUGGGUUUAGAACGUCGUGAGACAGUUCGGUCCCUAUCUGCCGUGGGCGCUGGAGAAUUGAGGGGGGCUGCUCCUAGUACGAGAGGACCGGAGUGGACGCAUCACUGGUGUUCGGGUUGUCAUGCCAAUGGCACUGCCCGGUAGCUAAAUGCGGAAGAGAUAAGUGCUGAAAGCAUCUAAGCACGAAACUUGCCCCGAGAUGAGUUCUCCCUGAGACUUUAAGUCUCCUGAAGGAACGUUAAAGACGAUGACGUUGAUAGGCCGAGUGUGUAAGCGCAGCGAUGCGUUGAGCUAACCGGUACUAAUGAACCGUGAGGCUUAACCUU
This 2902-nucleotide ribosomal RNA is filed under the name Klebsiella pneumoniae. Its description in RNAcentral is "23S ribosomal RNA". It matches the Rfam family "Bacterial large subunit ribosomal RNA". Lineage: Bacteria; Pseudomonadati; Pseudomonadota; Gammaproteobacteria; Enterobacterales; Enterobacteriaceae. The record is from RNAcentral.